AUGGCGGCCGCCUGCUGCGUCCUCGUCGACUCCGGCGCCUACAUCGACGACACCAACGACAGCACCAACGAGAGCACGGCCCAAACGUUUACUAGCAGAGGCAAUCAGAUCGUGGUUUCCUUAUGGCCUGCUCACCCGCCGAUACCCUCCCGUCUCUCCGUGCACGGUCUCCUCUUGCAUCCCGGCGAAGACUUCUUCCAGGAACCCAAGAUCCUUUGCGCAGCAGACGGCUUCUUCGUCCUCCGCACCGCCAUCGGCCGCGGCCCCCCACCCUUCAACAUCACGCAGAAGAUGAGCGACUACUUCGUCUACCAGCCAGCCAGCUCCACAUGGGGAGGCCCGUCGCUGCGGCUCCUCGCUCACCCUCACCCUCACUUAUUCACAGACAAUGUGGUUGGCGUCCUCCCCCGCGGCGGCGGCGGCCACUUCACCAUCGCCGUGCUGUCUCAAGCCUCGUAUUACAAGUUCGUGCUCUACCUGUUCAAGUCCGAGGACUGGUGUUGGACCUCCAAGAAGGUGCUGGUGGACUCGCCGCGGAUACCCUUCCCCAUGCCGCUCCCCCCUGACGAUGUCCAUGGCCACUUUCAGCAUCUUACCAACUCGGUCAUCACCAUCGGGAGCAGGGGACUCGUUGGCUGGGUUGAUCUCUGGCACGGAAUACUGCUCUACGACGUGCUCCGUGACGACAACGACAAAAUCCGCCUUGUACCGCUGCCGGUAAGGCCGGGAAGCCAUGGCGGCAAGGCGCUUGAGUGCUGUCCAAAGCCUUACCGAAGCGUCGCUGUCGUGGGGGAUUGCCUCAAGUUUGUCGAGCUGGAAGCCUUCGGCGAUCGUCUUCCUGGUAAAGACCCUGAAACCGGGGGCCCCAAGCUCAGAAUUGAUGACUGGGCGCUCACCACAUAUAGUACCAACUGCAACAUCACCGGCAAUCCCCCCGAGGACUGGAAAAUCGACUUCACCGUCAAUGCAUCCGCCGUCCGGAUUGACACGACAAUGCGGUCUGGAUUGGUUCGCUGCGGAAUGCUGCUGCGUAACAAUGAUGAGGCUGCUGCAGAGAGAAACUUGCAAAAUCUCUGGACAUAUCAGCCUGUUGUCAGCCUGAAUGAUGAUGAAGGUGCUGUUGUUUAUCUCAUCUCCAGGGUCAAAUUCCGGCACCCUAAGGCAUGGCUUCUUGCUCUUGACAUGGCCAACAACCAAGUACAAGCAAUGGCUAUGAUUGAAACUGAAAGGAGCACCGCCUUGUCCCUCAACUAUUUUCCUUGUAGGAUCUCAUCUCCAGCUACCUGA
RNAcentral lists this ribosomal RNA (1287 nucleotides) under Triticum aestivum (bread wheat). RNAcentral's name for it is "partial small subunit ribosomal RNA". Lineage: Eukaryota; Viridiplantae; Streptophyta; Magnoliopsida; Poales; Poaceae. The record is from RNAcentral.